RNAcentral lists this unclassified non-coding RNA (1608 nucleotides) under uncultured fungus. Its description in RNAcentral is "sequence contains 18S rRNA gene, ITS1, 5.8S rRNA gene, ITS2, 28S rRNA gene". The stretch from base 636 to 1608 matches the Rfam family "Eukaryotic large subunit ribosomal RNA", at positions 1 to 961 of the family's 3401-position model. The record is from RNAcentral. Lineage: Eukaryota; Fungi.
GGAAGGAUCAUUAUUGAAUAAAUCUGGCGUUAGGUUGUAGCUGGCUCUCCGGAGCAUGUGCACACCUCGUCACCUUUAUCUUUCCACCUGUGCACACACUGUAGUCCUGGAUACCUCUCGCUGAAAGGCGGAUGCGGAGCCUGCUGUGACUUUGGAAACAAAGGCCCGGCUUGCUCUGAAUUUCCAGGUCUACGAUUUUUAUACACCCCUAAACGAAUGUUAUAGAAUGUAUAUCACUGGGCCUUUGUGCCUAUAAACCUUAUACAACUUUCAACAACGGAUCUCUUGGCUCUCGCAUCGAUGAAGAACGCAGCGAAAUGCGAUAAGUAAUGUGAAUUGCAGAAUUCAGUGAAUCAUCGAAUCUUUGAACGCACCUUGCGCUCCUUGGUAUUCCGAGGAGCAUGCCUGUUUGAGUGUCAUUAAAUUCUCAACCUAACACCUGUUUUGCAAUGGGUUUUGUUAGGCUUGGAUAUGGGGGCUUGCAGGUCCGCUCUUUUGUGGUCUGCUCCUCUGAAAUGCAUUAGUGGGUUUGUGCCCCUCAUCUAUUGGUGUGAUAAUUAUCUACGCCGUGGGUGAUGGAUUGGCCAUCAAUGAACCUGCUCAUAACCGUCCGUCUCGGACAACUUUGAUCAUUUUGACCUCAAAUCAGGUAAGACUACCCGCUGAACUUAAGCAUAUCAAUAAGCGGAGGAAAAGAAACUAACAAGGAUUCCCCUAGUAACUGCGAGUGAAGCGGGAAAAGCUCAAAUUUAAAAUCUGGUAGUCUUUGGCUGCCCGAGUUGUAAUCUAGAGAAGUGUUACCCGUGCUGGACCGUGUACAAGUCUCCUGGAAUGGAGCGUCAUAGAGGGUGAGAAUCCCGUCUUUGACACGGACUCCCAGUGCAUUGUGGUGCGCUCUCAACGAGUCGAGUUGUUUGGGAAUGCAGCUCAAAAUGGGUGGUGAAUUCCAUCUAAAGCUAAAUAUUGGCGAGAGACCGAUAGCGAACAAGUACCGUGAGGGAAAGAUGAAAAGAACUUUGGAAAGAGAGUUAAACAGUACGUGAAAUUGUUGAAAGGGAAACGCUUGAAGUCAGUCGCGUUGUCCAGAAAUCAACCUUGGUUCUCCUGGGUGUAUUUUCUGGUUAACGGGCCAGCAUCAGUUUUGACCGGUGGAAAAAGUCCAAGGGAAUGUGGCAUCUUCGGAUGUGUUAUAGCCCUUGGUCGUAUGCAUCGGUUGGGACUGAGGAAUUCAGCACGCCGCAAGGCCGGGGUUCGCCCACGUUCGUGCUUAGGAUGCUGGCAUAAUGGCUUUAAUCGACCCGUCUUGAAACACGGACCAAGGAGUCUAACAUGCCUGCGAGUGUUUGGGUGGAAAACCCGAGCGCGUAAUGAAAGUGAAAGUCAGGAUCUCUGUCGCGGAGAGCACUGACGCCCAGACCAGAAGUUUACGGACGGUUCUGCGGUAAAGCAUGUAUGUUGGGACCCGAAAGAUGGUGAACUAUGCCUGAAUAGGGUGAAGCCAGAGGAAACUCUGGUGGAGGCUCGUAGCGAUUCUGACGUGCAAAUCGAUCGUCGAAUUUGGGUAUAGGGGCGAAAGACUAAUCGAACCAUCUAGUAGCUGGUUCCUGC